RNAcentral lists this transfer RNA (71 nucleotides) under Loxodonta africana (African savanna elephant). It matches the Rfam family "tRNA". From Rfam's summary of the family: Transfer RNA (tRNA) molecules are approximately 80 nucleotides in length. Their secondary structure includes four short double-helical elements and three loops (D, anti-codon, and T loops). The record is from Rfam by way of RNAcentral. Lineage: Eukaryota; Metazoa; Chordata; Mammalia; Proboscidea; Elephantidae.
GCAGUGGUAGUUCAGCGGUAGAAUGGUCACCUUCUAUGUGGGAAACCCAGCUUCGACUCCCUGCCAUUGCA